CUACGGGACGCACCAGUGGGGAAUAUUGCACAAUGGACGAAAGUCUGAUGCAGCAACGCCGCGUGGAGGAUGACACAUUUCGGUGCGUAAACUCCUUUUAUAUAGGAAGAUAAUGACGGUACUAUAUGAAUAAGCACCGGCUAACUCCGUGCCAGCAGCCGCGGUAAUACGGAGGGUGCAAGCGUUACUCGGAAUCACUGGGCGUAAAGAGCGUGUAGGCGGGUUAAUAAGUUGGAAGUGAAGUCCUAUGGCUCAACCAUAGAACUGCUUCCAAAACUGUUAACCUAGAAUAUGGGAGAGGUAGAUGGAAUUUCUGGUGUAGGGGUAAAAUCCGUAGAGAUCAGAAGGAAUACCGAUUGCGAAGGCGAUCUACUGGAACAUUAUUGACGCUGAGACGCGAAAGCGUGGGGAGCAAACAGGAUUAGAUACCCUCGUAGUC
RNAcentral lists this ribosomal RNA (439 nucleotides) under uncultured bacterium. RNAcentral's name for it is "partial 16S ribosomal RNA". It matches the Rfam family "Bacterial small subunit ribosomal RNA", at positions 339 to 795 of the family's 1533-position model. The record is from RNAcentral.